Molecule: non-coding RNA, 3406 nt
Organism: Lolium perenne
Lineage: Eukaryota; Viridiplantae; Streptophyta; Magnoliopsida; Poales; Poaceae
Source: RefSeq, a predicted model, not a curated record
UAAAGACACAAGCUGAUCCCUAUCUGAUUCUUCAUACCAAUAGUGCAGAAAUAUCUGCAAAUAAGUAAUUACUAGGAAGAGCUGCAGAAAUAAGUGAAAAGGCUAUGUGUAUUUACUGCUUCCUGUCAAUCCAGUAUACGUCAUGCAAAGAUUACCAUAUCAAAUAGCCUGAUUAGCCUUACUGGAACAGAACAGGAUGUAGUAAUGCAAAUAUGAACUAACUUUUUCAUGAUUUAGAGUAUUCUAUAUAAUUUAACAUGCUAUGAUUGCUUUACCACUACAAUAUAUCUCCUGCACAGGUUAAAAAAUAUAUAUCUCCUGCAGAUGAGCUCUUGAUUAUUCUGCCAAUUCAGAGUAUGUGUAUAGAUGAUUGAAUGCGCUCACUGGUAUGAAACUAUGUAGCUUAAUCUGGUAAAUAUCUUGGCAUCCUAAACUUGAGAGUUCCUAUUGGCUUAAGUGAAUACAUGCAUCCUAAACUGAAUACUUGCUUGACUGAGUUAACACGUCCAUCUACUGAUCUAAAUCCUGACUGGCAUGACUAAACACAUGCAGUUCCUCCAGAUUUAGACAUGAGGUAGCCAUUUUUUUCUGAUUCUUCAUCUAUUAGUUCCUUUCGUAAUAGAGUCCUUCAUGUUUUUUCCUUCAGAUCUAAUUGCUGCAACUUUGUUGGCACAUAACCCAUUUGAUGGAUUCAAAAAGAUGCAUGAGUACUUUCUUUUUGAUUUUUCAGGGUCCUAUAGUGCUGGCAUGCACAUCAAGUAUUUUUCAAAAUGGAAAACUUCGAAAUGUACACAACUUUCUGUUAGAGGUAGAUACUGUAACAAUUCAACCAAGUGUGCAUAGUCAAAUUUAACUAAUUGCUUGAGGAAUUAAGGUAACCCGUUUAUGUAUCAAGAUGUGUUCCUUCUUUUCGCUCAGAUAAUCAACUUAAGGCAUUCGAGAUGGCAAAUAGUUCAGUACUAUUAAAUUAUGAAUUAAUCUUACAGUUUUUCUAUUUCGUUACAGAUACUCAACAGAAUUUGUCUAUUGCCUGUUGCUUCUAUGGAUGUCAAUUGCUAGCUACAUCAAAAGGUAUUGGCUAAGCAAAAAAGUUGAAGGUAUUGGCUAAGCAAUUUUAAAAGGUUUAUCGGUGAGCGGAGGUCUCUCUCUCACACAGAAACGUCUCCCUGUUCGAACUAUCAGUUGGUAAUUGGAAACAAAAACUCAAAAUGUUGAGCUGCAUAAAUUUCCAUCUCUUCAUUUGUCUAUUCAUCAGUACAUUGCAAUGUCUUGCAUUGCACAGGAAACCUCCAAUGAUAUUUUCCCUUUUUCGUUCCACAAUUUUUCAUGCCAGUACACAUACUCUCAUGUUUUCUAUUUUGCACAGUUCGUUUGAAUUCGAGUUUCAUAUACUGAUUCGUAGACAUCAGUACAUUGCGCUGUGUUGCAUUGCACAGGGCACCUCCGAUGAUAUUUUUCCUUUUUUGUCCAUGAUUUGUCAUGCCAGUACACCUAUGCUCAUGUGUUCUAUUUCGCACGGUUCAUUCGAACUCGAGUUCCAUAUGUACUGAUUUGUAGAUAUGCCUCACCUUUAGAACUAUAAUUUGCAUGCACUUCAUAUUAAGGAGCAAUGGAUGCCCCUCUAUCUCAACUACUCCCUGCCGAACAAACACAUUUAUCACGCCCCUGUAUCUCAACUUAUUUUACCUCACAAUCUUAAUUACCAAGGAAUAGUUUUCAUGCAUUCUAAUCCAUAUGUAUGCCUAACCCUUUGAAUUAUACUUUGCAUGCACUUCUUAUUGGCGCUGCAAUGGAUGAUCACACUAAGAAAUAGUUUUUAUAUGUUCUGGAGUAUUCCCUUUGUAGACAAAAAUAAAUAGAUGCCCCAGUAACUAAAAUUGUCCCUUCAUAUCGAAAGUAUUUGUCAUGCCACCACCUUCAAGCUCAUGUUUCUAAAAUGUAUGAUUUAUUUUACCUAGCAAUCCUACUUAGGAAUAAUUCUCACAUACUAAUUCAUGAAUAUACAUAAUCUCUUGGAUUACAGUUUGCAUACACUUUGUACUAGCUACUAUAUUAUUUAUCAGAGUGCAUAAUGUACAUGAAUGUUCAGAAAAGCCUUUUUUUUAUUUUCACGCAGCUAAUACUACAAUUUUCUUCUUCAUCAUAGGGAAACAUAAUGGAAGGACACAUACCAGGCAACCAUAUAGAUCAGUUCAAGGACCCUCUAAAAGAAGUUAUAUACCAUAGAGAGCUUCAUCUUUGCAGAUGCACGCAAGAAAUACAGGUCAACGGAUCAACAAUAUAGAUUCAAAUUUACUCAGCGCACAAAGCUCCACCUCUGGGAAAAAAAAGGUAGGCCAAAGCAUUGGCUACUACACCCAGCAAGAAGCACAUCAACAAAGAGCUCUUCCGACGAUAGCAAAAGUCAGCCAAAAACGGGCCAGCUUAGCUGAAAAAUCCAAGACAGAGAAGGAAUGAAGCAGCAAGACAAAGACUGAGCUACUUGGAAGAUUAUCCAUGUUUAGAUGCUCUUUGAUAUUCUGCUAAUAUAGUGAGUAGUGUUGUCCGCAACAAAUUAUUACCAUUCUCAUUUUCAACACAAAAUUUGGAAAUUUAACUUCAAGAUAUUUUUAAAAUUUUAAAAUUUUGAGUUUCCAGUGUGAAGUUGUCAACAAUAACUAAAGAAAACUAUCUACUGAUGUUUUGGGUGCUAUAUAUUCCAGGGUGCUAUAUAUUCCAGAUUAUUUGUGCUACUGCUACUGCUAUUGUAAAGUCUUGAUUCUGAAAUCUAUAUGCCCGAAUAUCAUACAUUGGCUUUUCACUCAAAUCAUGCACCAUGCCUAAACACUAAUGUUCUGUUGAAUACAAUGAUCUUGCUGAACGUGAAUGCAGGUUUGUGCUGAGACAUUGGUAAAGAAAGCAUAUGAAGAAUGGAUGCAUGAUGUAGGAUACGAUGGUAAGACAUUCCAGAGCUUCAAGCACAAUCUGUCACAACCACAAGUGAUACAACAACAGCUUCAACAAGUAACCAUGCUUCACAUGGUCCGGUCAAUGCACAGAAACAAUUAUUUGCAGGAAAAGUUAGCCAAACUUCCACAGGUACUACAAGUGAAGACCUGCUAAUCUACGUUCUGUCUCUAGGAAUAAACACUUCUAUCAUACUGUAGUAUUAAGUGCCCAUCAGGCAAAUAAUUAAAUUACCUUUGUUGUGCUACUAUAUUCUUUAUUAUACUUCGUUUCUUUGGACUUCCAACUAUUAAGUUUAUGCUAGCCAAGCAUGUGUACUUAUGUUAGAUGGAACAUGAUUAUGUUAGAUGGAACAUAAGGGAACAUAUUCCUUCACUGUGGAUUAUUUGAUGUUGUACUGACAAUGUCCACACUCAUAUUAAAAGCAUGUACACUUCACCUCUGCCUCACAUAAAUUGCA